This 546-nucleotide ribosomal RNA is filed under the name Olividae sp. MNHN IM 2007-33275. Its description in RNAcentral is "partial 16S ribosomal RNA". It matches the Rfam family "Bacterial large subunit ribosomal RNA", at positions 1798 to 2613 of the family's 2925-position model. The record is from RNAcentral. Lineage: Eukaryota; Metazoa; Mollusca; Gastropoda; Neogastropoda; Olividae.
GCCUGUUUAUCAAAAACAUCGCUCUUCGUGAUACAAAAAUUGAGGAGUCGGACCUGCCCAGUGAAAAUUUUUAACGGCCGCGGUACUCUGACCGUGCAAAGGUAGCAUAAUCAUUUGCCUUAUAAUUGAAGGCUAGUAUGAAUGGUUUGACGAGAAUAUAACUGUCUCUUCGAGAUUUAUUAAAAAUUUAUAUUUAGGUGAAGAAGCCUGAAUAUAAUUAAAAGACAAGAAGACCCUAUCGAGCUUAAAAUAAAUUAAUAAAUUAAAAACAAUAUAUAAUAAAAGUACUUGAUAUUAAAUAUUUUGGUUGGGGCGACUAAGGAACAAAUAAAGCUUCCUCAUUUAUAAUUAGGUUCACAAACAUUGAUCCAAAAAUUUUUGAUUAAUGAAAUUAGUUACCGUAGGGAUAACAGCAUUAUCUUUUUUGAGAGUUCUAAUCGAAAAAAAGGUUUGUGACCUCGAUGUUGGACCAGAAUAUCCUAAAGGUGCAGCAGCCUUUAAGGGUUGGUCUGUUCGACCAUUAAAAUUCUACGUGAUCUGAGUUCA